UACGAAGGGGGCUAGCGUUGCUCGGAAUCACUGGGCGUAAAGCGCACGUAGGCGGCUUUUUAAGUCAGGGGUGAAAUCCUGGAGCUCAACUCCAGAACUGCCUUUGAUACUGAGAAGCUUGAGUCCGGGAGAGGUGAGUGGAACUGCGAGUGUAGAGGUGAAAUUCGUAGAUAUUCGCAAGGACACCAGUGGCGAAGGCGGCUCACUGGCCCGGUACUGACGCUGAGGUGCGAAAGCGUGGGGAGCAAACAGG
This 253-nucleotide ribosomal RNA is filed under the name uncultured bacterium. RNAcentral's name for it is "partial 16S ribosomal RNA". It matches the Rfam family "Bacterial small subunit ribosomal RNA", at positions 524 to 776 of the family's 1533-position model. The record is from RNAcentral.